This 1217-nucleotide long non-coding RNA is filed under the name Takifugu rubripes (torafugu). RNAcentral describes it as "lncRNA (ENSTRUG00000033291.1)". The record is from RNAcentral. Lineage: Eukaryota; Metazoa; Chordata; Actinopteri; Tetraodontiformes; Tetraodontidae.
CUGAGUGUUUGUAGGAUUUGUUCUUACCUACGCAUAAAUCCAGGAUAAGAAGAAAUUGGUGAAUGCCACAAUCUUCGUAAAAUGUUCGUAAGUGGGACUUAAGAACAAAUUUGUUCGUAAGAACGUUUCGUGAAUCUGGCCCAGGCUGAGCGGAGCAGCUUCCAGACUCUCCCCCGUCGGGCGAUUGACACACACCUGUAAAUGAUCUCCAGCCAAUCAUCCACACCUGCUGUUCGCUUUAAAAGCCUGUUCAACUCUCCAAUCAUCGCCAAUUCGUUGUUAACCCCCCCAUGGUACAGCCUGGAUUCUCAAACGCCGUAUGCAAGUUUGUGUUUUCGUUCCUGUUUUCCAGUUUGGAACUGAUUGUUCGUCUCUCCCGCAGAUCGCCUUUCGGACGCCUGUUCGCGCUGCCCAGCCUGCUCCAGCUUGACCAUGUUUGUCUGCUUUCAGCACCACUUAGUUUUGCUCUGAACCAGAUUUUCACUGCAGCAGAAAAGGCCAAAAGACCUGUGAAACAGAGCCGGCCAGCUUCUGCACACAAGUAUGUCAGACGCACCACUCCAUCGUUGAUGGCAAGAUCGCUGUCUGAACCACACAUCGAGGUGACUCUUUGCUCCAUAUCCUGGGGACGCCACACUAAAGUGUGCCAAUACGAAAACGUACACUAACAUGCUGGUUAUAUUCAAGGUUCCGGUAGCGGCUCCCGAGAGGACAACCGCCGUGAUGGAUGCAGCGCCUCAGCCCUGUCGGCCCACAGCAACAUCGGCAGCACAACCGGAGGUAAUCCGUUGAAAACAAGCUCAAGUUUGAGUAUUCCGUGACUAUAUGUCGGAUAUAAUCGUGUGUUUUCUUAUUAGGUGACAUACGAGCGAUGGCACCAAAUGUGGGAGUCUGCUCCCAAUGGGCUGAUGUUGCAUGGCUGAAAGAGAAUGAAACCAAUGGACUCUUCCAGAGGGCUGCAUCCUUUCAGGACAAACAUGAAAAGAUGAAGUGGAGGAAGGUCCUGAAGGAUGACAGGAUGUGGUUUCAUCCUGUGGUUUCAGACAUACUGUCCAAACAGCAAAAAGUCAUCUCCAGGACUUGAAGGCCAGACUUUUGACACUUUUGCAGACUUUCAAAGGGCUGUGGACAUUCUUUUGGGACCUAAUUUCCAGGUGUAAGCAAAGAAAAUUGGAGUGUUUUAUUGACUGCACUUGACAAUAAAUGCUUCUUUGAAU